UAUCUCUGUAGAGUCUGCAUAUCAAUAAGCGGAGGAAAAGAAACUAACUAGGAUUCCCUCAGUAACGGCGAGUGAAGCGGGAAGAGCUCAAAUUUGAAAUCUUCAAGGUUCUACCUUGACGAAUUGUAGUUUAAAGAAGUGUUUUCUGUUGAAGUUUCGGUAAAAGUUCUUUGGAAUAGGACAUCAUAGAGGGUGAGAAUCCCGUAUUUGACCAGUUAUUUUCCAGCUGUGUGAUACACUUUCAAAGAGUCGGAUUGUUUGGGAAUGCAGUCCAAAAUGGGUGGUAAAUUUCAUCUAAAGCUAAAUACUGGCGAGAGACCGAUAGCGAACAAGUACCGUGAGGGAAAGAUGAAAAGAACUUUGAAAAGAGAGUUAAACAGUACGUGAAAUUGUCAAAAGGGAAGCGUUUGACACCAGUGUUGUUUUCUCGAAAAUCAAUUAAAAAUGGUGGGAUUUUGUGUUGUAUUGACUUUAUCAGCUUUCUGCACUUUUUUCCUAUCUUUUUUAAUGCACUUUUCGUUUAACAAGUCAACAUCAAUUUCUUCUGUUGUAAAAGAGUCAUUGGAAGGUGGCUUUCUUUUCGGAGAAAGUGUUUAUAGCCUUUGACUUCUGCAAUCGGAGAGAUUGAGGUCUGCAGCGUAGAUCCUUCGGGGUUAGAUGCAUUUGUGCUAAGCUAUAGCCUUUCAUAGACAACUUGUUGACUAUGAUCAGUCAUGUAGCUUACAUCGCUUAUGUCAUUUUACCUACGCUUAGGAUGUUGAUGUGAUACUGCGAGCA
Molecule: ribosomal RNA, 777 nt
Filed under: uncultured Neocallimastigales
Lineage: Eukaryota; Fungi; Neocallimastigomycota; Neocallimastigomycetes; Neocallimastigales
Description: partial large subunit ribosomal RNA
Rfam family: Eukaryotic large subunit ribosomal RNA
Source: RNAcentral